RNAcentral lists this long non-coding RNA (1227 nucleotides) under Malus domestica (apple). RNAcentral's name for it is "long non-coding RNA (MDOM_LNC019565)". The record is from RNAcentral. Lineage: Eukaryota; Viridiplantae; Streptophyta; Magnoliopsida; Rosales; Rosaceae.
AACCUAGUGCAAUAGCAUUCUAGGAUUCAUAUAGCCGACUCAACUUAGUGGGAUAAGGCUUUUGUUGUUGUUGUUGUUAUUGUUAUAGUUUACACUACUCAUUAGUACGAAAAAUAGGUGGUCAUGAUUGAAUUGAAAUUUUUUUUUUCAACUGCCAAUCUAAUGAAUAAAAAGCACAGUAGUCCGGACUACUAAAGACAAACCUUACAAGAAUUUUGCAAAGUAAGUUAACAAACUGAGCCCUACUCUCCCGCCAUUUUGAAUCAUAUAGGCUGGGCUGCUAUGUCACUUGAUGGAUAUUGUACGAUGAUAUUGGAAUCCCAAGUAAAGCCAAGGAUAAUGGCCUUUUGUUUUCUUUUGUCUCACUUGAGGAUAAGGAUGCUUCCAACCUUACGCUGGUCUCACCCCACUAAAAAACUAACUUAAUCGGUUAGCCUACCGAAGUUUUUCUCCUUCUUAAUUUUUACCUUUGAGAUCUAUAUAUGUGAUAGGAGCAUAUUUAUGCGCCUUAGUUAGCUAGUUCUUAUGCAUCUUUGUUAUGUUUUCUUCGUUAAAGUAGUCUUUUAAGCUACUUUCAUGUGUUUUCAGGUUUAAAGGACAUAUUACAUGAAAUGAUGCAAUUUGGAGCUUUUGGAGCAAAAAGUGAGCUUGGAAUGAAAAGGACAUGCUUGGAACACAAGGUUGGGUUGAAAUUGAAGAGUUCGAGAUUUGAGGUUUCCUACUUGAAGUAGGAAAGCUAAGCCUAAAAGUUUCCAUUUUGGGUUGAUCUUUCCUAAAUCGGAAUUGGCAACCAAAGUUUCUAAAGUUGGAAGUUUCUAUUCUUGGAGGUUUCCAAUUUCGAGAGUUUCUAUUCUCGGCUUUGGGCUUUUGGAUGACCCAUCUUUGCCUCUUGGACCUAUGCCGCACCUAACCCUAACCCUAGCCCACUUAAUCAGCCGCACCUAGGCCUUGUUCACAUGAAAAAAAAUCUGAUUACUUACCCUAAGCCCAUGCCGCACCUAAUGUUCUAGAAACCCUAGUUUUUGGUGGAUUUCCUAACCCUAGCCGCACCUAAACCCUAGCCCAUUUGUCUAAUCUGAUUUCUUUAGGGUUUGGCUGCCUAUAUAUAUAUGUUUUACCUCCCUUGGCCGAAUCACAACCCUCUCCAUAAUCCAGAAAUUAAUCCUUCACGCCAGAAACCAUUCCCCAUCUUCAACAGCACCUAUCCUUCAUCAUUCACCAUAAUUU